CCGGCUGCUUGCUCGCUCCCCGUCUCCGUCCCCUUCCCCUUCGCACUCCGCCUCCGAGCGUCGCGACUGGCGCGCAGUCGAAAACAGCCAAGCCCGGGCGAAGCUGGCCAGCCGGCAGCCGCCGCUCCGGAGCUCCGCCCGCAACUCCCAUGCCGAGGAGGCGAGAUCCUCGACGGGGUCACCGCCUGGGCGCUCGCUCUCCUGCCAAGAUAUGGAAGAACAAGAUACUGAGGCUACCGCUGGAUUCUGACUCUUCCGCCGUCGCCUUCCUUCACCAUCUCGCUCCCAGCUUUCUGUGGACUUCCCGAUUUGCUGAAAAUCUGCAACAGUGUGGAAAAGGAAUGAAACUUCUUGGAACUGGAUUACAGGUGAUGGCAUCAGGAGAACAGGCGACGCAGCAUUGCAGGAGAGCAGCAUUCCCUUCAUGCCUCCGGUUAGCUUAGAAGAGGCCAAUGAUACGCCUGACAAGCGGCUAGAGCACCGAACAUUGAACCCAAGUCUCCAAAGGCUUAAGUGAUAUUUAUCUACCAGUUUGCUAGACGCAGACAUGAAUAACUCGACGAACAUAAGCUAUUUGGAGGAUGUGAUGCCUCUGGGGAGUCCUUAUAAAACAGUUGAGGUAGUAUUCAUCGUCCUGGUGGCUGGCUCCCUCAGUCUCGUGACCAUCAUUGGGAACAUCCUGGUGAUGGUGUCCAUUAAAGUCAACAGGCACCUGCAGACUGUCAACAAUUACUUUCUUUUCAGCUUGGCAUGUGCGGACUUGAUCAUCGGUGUCUUUUCCAUGAACCUGUACACACUUUACACUGUGAUUGGCUAUUGGCCGCUUGGACCUGUGGUUUGUGACUUGUGGUUGGCUCUUGACUAUGUGGUCAGCAAUGCCUCCGUCAUGAACCUUCUCAUUAUCAGUUUUGACCGAUAUUUUUGCGUCACCAAGCCUCUGACUUACCCUGUCAAGCGGACCACUAAGAUGGCAGGUAUGAUGAUCGCCGCGGCCUGGGUGCUGUCGUUCAUCUUGUGGGCACCCGCAAUUCUUUUUUGGCAGUUCAUUGUAGGGGAGAGGACUGUCCCCGAUGGGGAAUGCUACAUUCAGUUCCUGUCCAAUGCAGCCGUCACCUUUGGCACAGCGAUUGCCGCUUUCUACCUGCCUGUUAUCAUCAUGACUAUUCUUUACUGGCAAAUAUCUCGCGCCAGUAAGAGCAGGAUUAAAAAAGACAAAAAGGGGAGUGGGCAAAACCAGGAUCCAGUUUCUCCAAGCUUGGUCCAAGGUAAAAUAGUAAAACCAAACAAUAACAAUGUUCCAACUAAUGAAGAUGGGGUAGAACAUGGUAAAAUUCAGAAUGGUAAAGCCACAGGGGAAUCAGUGAUGGAAAACUGUGUUACUGCAGAGGAGAAGGAAAGUUCUAAUGACUCCACCUCUGUCAGCGCUGUGGCUUCCAAUGUGAAAGAUGAUGAACCCAUCAAAGAGGACACCAGGGCUUCUGCCUCCCAAGUCAAUGCCAAAGUGGAGAACUCCAAAUUGACAUGUAUUAGGAUACUCACAAAGUCCCCGAAAGGUGACUGUUCUGGUUCUACCAACACGACCGUGGAGAUUGUAGGUCCCGAUGGGCAAAAUGGAGAUGAGAAGCAGAACAUUGUAGCACGUAAGAUUGUCAAGAUGACUAAGCAGCCUGCCAAAAAGAAGACACCUCCUUCCAGGGAGAAAAAGGUGACCAGGACUAUAUUGGCUAUUCUCCUGGCCUUCAUCAUUACCUGGACACCAUACAAUGUCAUGGUCCUCAUCAACAGCUUCUGUGCGUCUUGCAUCCCCAACACAGUAUGGACCAUUGGUUACUGGCUGUGCUAUAUCAAUAGCACCAUCAAUCCUGCCUGCUAUGCGCUCUGCAAUGCUACCUUCAAGAAAACCUUUAAGCACCUCCUUAUGUGUCAUUACAAGAACAUAGGAGCUACAAGGUAAAACAGUAAUAAGCGGGGUGUGGGGAAGGGAGAAGGAAGUUCAAAGUUUUAUAAAACUAUGCCACAGCACUUUAUGCUCUAGAAUGAAACCAAGAAGGCUAUAGGACACAUACUGAUGGGAUGGAGGGGGGGACAACAUGUGCUCCAUCUCCGACAACUACACUUCAGAGAUCACCACUUUUCUGUCAGUGAAUCACUAGGAGGCAGGAAAGGGUGGGCAGGCCAGCUGAGGAUAUGAACUUGAGGCAACAUGCCCAGAUCUCUGGUAGUCUCAUGCAGAAGGGCUUUUGAAUCCAUUCUUCUUUGGGGAAGCGUUCUCUUGUGUGAAGCCCGUUUAGGUUUGCUUCAUCUGAAAGGGAUCUGCACAAAAGCACUGGCAUUUCAGUGAGAAGGACAACCCCACUGAGGGUUGCAUCUUUGUCAGUUCUUCUGGCCUGGCAGUUGCUAGUUUUGUUUGUCUGUGUGUAUGUUCACUUGAAAACAGUGGUGGUGGGGGAAUCGUUCAACAAUAUCCUUCCUGUAUGGAACGCUUCAAUGACUGGAAGAGAGAGACACGGAACAGUCCAAUCAGCUCAACAGAUUCCAUAAUUUUAAAAAGUGGUGGGAUUUGAUGGAUGUUACUAUUAAUUAUUUACCUCUCUCCUGCUGCUUGAAUCUGCAUCAGAAAAAAAAUAGUAUAUUACCUCAUAACGGGCAUGGUUUCAGCCAGGCUUUUAAGCACACGCUACACUUGCUCCAUCUUAAGUCAAGAAGACUUAAAAGUGCUGGGAUUUGGCUAGGUUGCAACCACUGGAAGCCGUGAUUGGUUAACAGGUGCCACAUGGUAACUGAUUCUUCCUUUUUAACUGGGUCAGACUUCACAUAGCACCGAUGGGCAGUCCAAUGGAGUGGGAAAAUGGAACCAAGUGGCCCCUUUAUCAUUUGGCAAGCCACAGUGACUAGCCAAAGGCUUUUGAAAAUGAAGCAUUGGGGGCAUUUGCAGCCCAGUCAGUUUGGUCUGUGAAAUGGCAAAACAUCCCAAUGAGUCUCUUUAGCUUGUGCACUUCAGAAAGAAAAAUGGUCCCCAUUGAAUUUUGCCCAUCCAUCUCACCUCUUAAUUUUAUGUUUCCUGCUCAUUAAGCAAAUAAAUCUUCAUAAGUUUUUUGUUUCCAAAAACUACCUUUGUACAGGUUCUUCUCCCUGCCCACCCCCAAAAUUGGGAGAUACGAAACACCAACUGUUUGAAGUUCACUAAACAAAUAAAUUGAUUAGUUAUCUCAGUAUGUAGUCUUCCAAAGUAAGAUUUCAAAAUAGUAGCUUUUUCAUUGAGGCACCACACCUUGUAGGCUUUGUUUACAAGCCCAAGUUCUCAGUAACAGAUGUGGUAUACCUGUCACUGUGCUGUAUCACUUUAGAUCCCAAGUUGUGGGGUGGGAGAGACAGACUGGAAUCCAUUCUGGGGGGGCGGGAUCCCUACACAUAGGUUGUGUUCAGAUGAAACAUUCACUGAUUCUCCAAAUCAUGGUUUGGAGCCAUGUACCCAGCCAUCAUGGUGUCCUCCAGAUAUUGUUGGACUACAACUCCCAUCAUUCCUGACCAUUGAUCAUACUGGCUGGGGAUGAUGGAGUCCAGCAACAUCUGGAGGUACCACAUUGACUACAUCUAGUUAGGAUGCUUAGAAAUUAGCCACUUAUGUUCAUACUCCCACCUGUUCCCCUUGCAUUCACCGCUUAAUAGAUUUUGUGAAACAAACAUUGCCUGUGACAUCUGAAACAGCAAACUAGUAUGAAAGAUUCCUCCAUACCAAUAUUCAAAAUAUUGUAUGCAAACCCUGAUUUGGAAGAAUCAUUCAAACCACAUCUUAUCACUUCAGAUAUCCUGUGACUUGACAAAAAUGGGCAUACAAGGAGGCAGGAGGGAACACAUGAAGACAAGGCUUGCUCCUCUUCCUGCAAACAAUUAUUUGGAUGUGACUUCUGAAUGCAGUUGUAGAAAACUGACAUGUCAAAAAGGAUUCUAGCAUCGUCUUCCAUCUAAUGUUUUAAGUAGAAGGAAUUCAGGUUUAUACAGAGGAGUAUUGAAUCACAUAAACCCCAAACAUCUAAAACAGUACAGCCUGAAUUAACAUUUACCACCUCAGCCAAAACUAGGCCUUUGUUGCAUUGCAAUAAGACUUGUAGAAUGCUCAGUAGGCAAGAGAAAACGGAACACAAAAAAUCCAUAUUCACUGGGUGUUAUUUGGGGACCAGAUCAGUUUAGAGCUAUGAUAGGUUUGUUCUGCAAACAUCAGCAGUGGUUCAAAAAAAUUUUUUCCAAGCCAGAGAGGGACAGGGAGAGGGAGAGGGAGAGGGAGAGGGAGAGAGAGAGAGAGAGAGAGAGAGAAUUUUGAUUUAUUACACACAUCUUAUAAAAUGUGCAGUGAAAUUCACAGAAGUUCCAUUUGCAUCAAUUGCUGUUGGAUCACAAAAAGGGAGAGCAGCAAAGGCCAUUAGGUAGCCACUGGGGCAGCAGACUGAACAGGCACGCAAGUCACAUGUUUAUAGUCUUCCCUGCUAUGGUGAGAUGUAGUAUAUUUCUAUUUAAAUUAUAGUGAUUCUUUCUACAUUUGUACCUAUGCAUAUAAAUCAACACAUGCAAAUUUUAUGUAGAAUAGAGUCCUCCUUUGUAUUCUUUUUUAAUGAUGCAUCCCCAGAAGGUGGGUUGCUAUUGCUUACCAUCAGGGAGAGGAGCAAGGCAGCAGUGAGGUAGGUGAGGUGCAAAUGUAUUGGCAGGAGCACCAGAUUGGCUCUGCCAGUGUGUUUGCACCGCACCAACUUCCCUACUGCCUUAUCCCUCCUCCUCCUGGCAAUUGCUGAAAUAGCAAUCAAAACAACAGAGCAAAUGCCUCAGUACUUCAAUUCUCCCCAAUCCUGCUUUGAAGUACAAACAAUGCAGAUGCCUGAGAGAACCAAAAUGCUUGGAAGAUGAUGCCUAAAAGAUAAGAAACUAAGGGCUGUGAGGUCCGUCUUUACAAGGAAAAUUUUUGAAUUAAAGUUCUAACAGCAUCUUACUUUGCCUUAUUUUUCUCUUCCCUUGCUUUGUUCUUAUCAUCCCUAUGCCAUAUAUAUAUAUAUAUAUAUAUAUAUCUCAGAGGGAGGUUAUUUUCUGUGAUUCAGAAAAUAAAUUAUAUUUUCAUACAUAUCCCAUCAUACCCGUCUCAGUCAUAGGUUUGUCUCCAACUUUAGUCAUAGUGAGAGUAGACCCACUGAAAUCAAUGGAUUUACUUAAGGCUAUUGGGUUGUUUCUAACUAAAUCAUACUCAGAGUAGACCCAUUGAAAAUCAAUGGAUCUGAGUUAGCCAUAUUACCUUUUAAGUUUUGAGCAUGUAGAAACUGCAGAAGCAUCUGAAAGUGUUAUCACUUCAUUCACUUACCAGAGCAAGGAAGGUCUGUCAAUUUCACUCUGAUAAAGAACACCAUCACUCCUGUUCUGAAAACAAUCUCAAGCUAUGCUCUUCUGUAUUCCCCCUCCAUUACGCACUGCUCACACGAGACAGAAUAACUGCAGAUAUACACAAUGAAUAGAUGUAUCAUAUAUUUGUACAAUACUAAUCCAACUCUCUUCCCUUGUCUGACAAUCAAAACUAUUCACCCUUUAAGGAUUCAUGCUUCUCUCCCUCCGUCUUUGAAAACUGAUAGAUUUUUAAUUCAUUCUGGUGGGUGGGGCUGGGGCUGGGAAUCAAUAAGAGCAGAACCAUUGAAACAAAUCCCUCCUGGCUACUUAAUGAUUUCACCUUUCAAGUAAAGAUUAAGUCAUUGGGAAUCUCUAAAGGGAUUGUUCAAUUUCUCAUGGCUUUCCUUGUUGUCUCAGGCCUACAUGGCUCCUUGGCAUUCACACCAUGACAUCUCCCCUUUUGAAGUCUGCUUCUGUUGGAUGUAAAUGCAAUUUCUUCUCUUUUUUUAAAAAAAAAUGGUGCCUUUGAGCUUCCCAAUUGUCACUUGACUCCUGACUGCUUAGCAGGUUGACAAAGUCAAUUACGUGUUCCCAACUUGCUGCAGCUUUUGACUGGGCACUGCAGUGAAAGAGACGAAAGAAUCAUUGGCAGCAAUAAUAAACCCUACCUCUGUUUGCAGAAUCUACACACACUGAGAAAGGAUCCUGCACCCCUUUACUUGGGAUCCUUUUCCUUGCAUGCAAACAAGGCAAAAUUGGAAGGUUAAGCUAUCAAUUAGCCUUACUCAUUGAAGGAAGGAUGACCAGCCCUAUGAUUUUCCCAAAUGAGAUUUGUAUGGAGAAAACAAGUAGGUUAUUUCUAGGCUAUGUUGCCAAGAGAGGAUGCACUAUUGAUGUUCUAUACCAAUCAUUCUUGAAUGGUGACUGAUCACCAACCAGCUGCAGUCAGUGGGAAGGUGGAAUUUACCUGACCUCCCAUCAUCAAGAGGGGUAGGGGUGAGGCCAGUGUGCUGCAGAUCCAACUUGACAUUCCUGCUGAUGUGCUUGCAUCACACUAACCUCACCAACUAUCUCUUGCCUCUCCCUCCCAGUACAGUGCAGUGACACUGGUGAUGGGAGGUCAAAUAAGUGCUCCCACUGCACCUAUUGCUGCUGUCACCAACAAGACCGUAUCAUAUCAGGAAUAAUUUGUGAGCAUCUAAAUCACUCUGAAAGGGUCACUUGCAAGAAUGCGUCUCAUUCAGUACUGAUCCAUAGCACUGUCCACAACCUUGGGUCCUCAGAUGUUGGUGGACUGUAGGUCCCAUCAUAUUUGACUAUUGGCUGAGCUGGCUGGGAGUGAUGGGAGUUGUAGUCCAACCACAUCUGGGACCUCAAGGUUGAAGAACACCAAUCUAUAGCAUAUGCCUUCCACCCAUCUGUUUCUCUGAUGAAUCUAUUUGUAAAUCAAAAGUGUUUCAUGGGAUAAAGUAACUGCAUUAAUGAGACAGGGUGGCCACAUAAGACAUAUAGCAGAAAUCAAGCUGAAGCUUUUUAUUGGAUGGAGAUAAAUGGGGUCACCUGUAAACUUCUACAGAUCAAACUGAUGUUUAAUUAAUGGCAACAGGCAAAUUCAAAAGUCGGCAGCUCCUAGUCCCAUUUUUCUUCUUUUUAACUCCCAGGCAAUAGCUAUAUAAAUCUGUGAGGAGCUCCAAAAACAAUGCAUCUUUCCCCUGAGGGAUAUAUGUGCAAGUUUCUGAUUCAGAUGCUAUAAAGGGAGAGAGACAAAAGUAGAAAUGUGACACAAUUGUGCUUCCUGUCCUCAGCCCCUUUGCCUACUUCAGUGUUGCAUCCAAAGCCAUCAACACAACCCCUACAAUUGCUUCCCGUUUUGAAACAUUAUCAUCAGACGUUUUGAAGGAAGCGGAAGCAAUUGAAAUAGAUUCCCCAGCCUGCUUCCCCUAGCAAUAGCCUUCUUUCCAGUUUCCAUAUAUUGUUUCAAUGUGUCUGAACUGUAUCAUGUGAAAACCCUAUUUCUGGCAAGUGGACAUUUUACCAAAACAUUGUAGAUUGAUUCCUAAAGGGUUUUGCAGCGUGGAAUGACAAAAUAUUUACCUGCAUUGAAACAAAACUGGACUUUGGUGUGGAUGGAAGCAAUCUUAUGGCAGCUUACCAAAUUUAGGCCUCUCUCGUGUGAGGCAUCCUUUAGGCAUUUCAUUCUUGCAAUGUUUGAAGGUCUCAGCCUAGUGGGAGCUGGAGUGUACACCUCUGAACUUAGCUGGGACAUUACUACGUGGGAAGGUUGGCCCUAUUCAAGAAGCCAAGAGCUUUCAAUUGUACCUGAAGUCAGUCUCAUAUUUAUAUAUGUAGCAAGAUAGUAAAAUCCAUUUCAGGUUGAGUGUUCACAUAGCUACCAUUUCUAAAACAGAAAGCAUAUUGCAGAAAUGUGGAGAAACACUUGUCUCGAGGACAGGGCUGGCAUUGGCACACAACAUGUUUGGGCAAGGCCUGGGGCCACUGCAGCUGAGGGCUAUAGUAGCAGCCAUUUUCUUCCUUUCAUUGGCUUUGGAUCUAGUCCCUGACAUAGCAUUCCUCUAGGCUUGUUCAGACAAUACAAUGAACACAAGUAUAAGCUGUCUCUACCCAUGCACAAGUGUUUGUGUGAGAGUGUACUCUUUUUGGUUUGUACAGCUCAGCGGUUGUGUACACGGGCUGCACACUCAUGAACCAUCACAAGUGAAGAGUGUUGUGACAGCCAAACUGUGUACACAUCUGUGUACAGACCAAACACUUGUUGAAUGUAAUGUGUGAACACACUUGCAACAGAGGCACUGUGGGGGCAUUAUGAGGGCAACAUUGCAGUCACACAGCCCAGUCCUUCUCUCAGCACCAUGUCCCACCCCUACAAACUUUCUGUGGUGGUGGGUGGGUGACCAGCCACUAGAGUGGUGCUUGGGUGGGUAUGAAUUGGGAGAAGGAGGCUCUUGAAGGCUCUACUUCUUCAAGAAAAGAAAUUGUCUCCAAUACUGGGCCUAUUCAGAACAGCCCCAUUGAAAUUAAUGAACAUGUCUAACUUAGGCCCAGUUAUCAACUCUAGGUACAACUCCAAACCCCACUGGGUGUGCCCAACAUCUUGCAUGCCCCUCAAGUUGCUAAAAGAAUCGGCAUUUUGUACAAAAUUAUUCACUUCUACCUAAAGCAGUUUAAUUCUACUGGAUUCAAUGUGACAAAGGCCCAGUUUUUGUGUCAUCCUGUUGGUGGGAUGGGCAUUGGGAAGACAGAACAUCUGGGCAGCUAGAUGCUGCACGAUUCACAUGAAGGCAUACUCGCAUGGUACUCCCUAUAGUAAAAGGCUUCUCUGGCAUGAUUAUGGCUCAAUUGGGCAAUGAGAGAUGCUCUCCUAAUCAUGGAGAUAGCCUUCCAAAUCACAUGGGGGGGACCUCCUGGCAGCCAAUAUCCUGGUGGAAUAAUGAAGCAAGCAUGAACAGAGUUAACACAUGGUUUCCUAUUGUUGAUUACGGAAAGAACCAUGUUCCAGAGUGGGUUCUUCCCUCCCUACCCUUCGCCAUAGCCAGCAAGAAGUAACUGCAGGUGCUCACCAUCCUCAAGACAAAGAAGGGGAUGUUGUGUCAUAUGAUCACAGGCAAGAAUGUGGUAUGAAAAACCUUACAUGUUGGAAAAGUUCUGGUCCCAGUAUCCAUUGUGGAGAAAUGUAUCUUAUCAUGUGUUUGAUGUACUCACACUUUGACCAAAUGAUGUUUAAUUACUGGAAAUAGACAGUUGAGAAAUGGGGGAUCCAACUGUGUUUCCCCAGCCCUGCCAAAGGGACAAACUUGAGAGUGACUGCAGACAAACUCCUUUAUGCCCUCCUACCGUAUCUUCUGGGAGGAUACAGGAUGUCUGGAUGCCACAGGUGAUUCCAUGUCAUCUUUACAGUUGCACCCCAAAGAUUGGUCAUCCUGUACCAAACUGCAUAAUAGUGUUAGUAAGGGGCUGCCAAGGGUCAUUAAUAAAUGGACUUUCAACAAUUUAUCUGUAACUACUGGUGCCAUAUUGAGGAGGACAGUGUUGAGCUAGAGGCUAAAUACCAUCUGUAAAUACCUACCAGUGACGUGUUUUGACAUGAUCCAACCAUCACUUGGCUAUGUACAGAUAUAAUACAACACCUGUAAUAUUGUUGAACUUUUGAGUUACAAUGUAAAUAAAGCUACAAUGAAUGUCUGAUUACUCUUCAAACUAUAUGUACGAGGAAGGGUGCAAUCCUUCCUGAGAUCUUUUGGGUUGUGUUUUGGGUUUUCACUUUUCCUUUCCUUUUCUUUUUAAAAUCCUGUUGUUCCUUUACAAAGGCUAGAAUUCUUGUCUUAAAAACUACUGUAAGAAUGAGAGAGUGCAUUACUCAUAAAGGAUGUGUGGACACUGACGGCAAGGAAGAUAAUGAGCUGAAUUAAGAUCAUUAUUGGCAAGGCUGCUGGGUCCGGGCUGCAUUCUUGAUGAUGCCGUAUCUUUGAUCUCAUAGAAAUAAGAUAAGCACAAAUGUUAUGGUUGACUUUGCAAAGCCCAACCAUCGUAAUAUACAUAUAUACAUAUAUAUAUUAUAGAUAUAUAUUUAUAUAAUCUGUAUAGAUAUACAUAUAAUUUACACAGUAUUCAUGCAGAGAAAGUGAAGCAUGAUGGAGAGAGAUACCUCUGAGAAUCUGUACAUAAUGUUGCCAUCCAUCCAAGGUGGAGGGUAUGGGAGGAAAGAUCACAGGAUUCAGCAUUAGUGACAUUACGAUGCAUUAUGCAGGAUAUGUGGAGCUGUAACCCAUUCAGAGGCCAGGGCUUCAACUUAAGAAACCUCAUGUGGGGCUGAAUUGAAGAGAAUCUGAAAUAUUUUGGAGACACACACAAAAAUCUACAUGCAAUAUAUGUGUAUGUACUUCUGCCAAGUUGUAUUCCUAGUUUGAGCAUUGCAUUAAGAAGCAAAAUAUACUAACUAAUAAAAAUGUUUUUGUAUGUGGUA
Non-coding RNA from Podarcis muralis (Common wall lizard), 10345 nucleotides. Lineage: Eukaryota; Metazoa; Chordata; Lepidosauria; Squamata; Lacertidae. The record is from RefSeq and is a predicted model, not a curated record.